RNAcentral lists this ribosomal RNA (460 nucleotides) under uncultured bacterium. RNAcentral's name for it is "partial 16S ribosomal RNA". It matches the Rfam family "Bacterial small subunit ribosomal RNA", at positions 338 to 795 of the family's 1533-position model. The record is from RNAcentral.
CCUACGGGUGGCAGCAGUGAGGAAUAUUGGUCAAUGGACGCAAGUCUGAACCAGCCAUGCCGCGUGCAGGAAGACGGCUCUAUGAGUUGUAAACUGCUUUUGUACGAGGGUAAACGCAGAUACGCGUAUCUGUCUGAAAGUAUCGUACGAAUAAGGAUCGGCUAACUCCGUGCCAGCAGCCGCGGUAAUACGUAGGAGGCAAGCGUUAUCCGGAAUGACUGGGCGUAAAGGGUGCGUAGGUGGUUUGGCAAGUUGGUAGCGUAAUCCCGGGGCUCAACCUCGGUGCUACUACCAAAACUGUUGAACUUGAGUGCAGGAGGGGUGAAUGGAAUUCCCAGUGUAGCGGUGGAAUGCGUAGAUAUUGGGAAGAACACCAGCGGCGAAGGCGAUUCACUGGACUGUAACUGACACUGAGGCACGAAAGCGUGGGGAGCAAACAGGAUUAGAUACCCGUGUAGUC